CCUACGGGAGGCUGCAGUGGGGGAUAUUGCACAAUGGGGGGAACCCUGAUGCAGCGACGCCGCGUGGGUGAAGGAGCGUUUCGGCGCGUAAAGCCCUAUCGGCAGGGAAGAAGAUGACGGUACCUGACCAAGAAGCCCCGGCUAACUACGUGCCAGCAGCCGCGGUAAUACGUAGGGGGCAAGAGUUCUCCGGAUUUACUGGGGGUAAAGGGGGCGCAGACGGCAAUGCAAGACAGGAGUGAAAGCCGUGGGCUCAACCCCGGGACUGCUCGUGAAACUGUAUGGCUGGAGUACAGGAGGGGAAGGCGGAACUCCUAGUGUAGCGGUGAAAUGCGUAGAUAUAAGGAAGAACACCGGUGGCGAAGGCGGCCUGCUGGACUGCGACUGACGUUGAGGCCCGAAGGCGUGGGGAGCGAACAGGAUUAGAUACCCUAGUAGUC
Molecule: ribosomal RNA, 440 nt
Filed under: uncultured bacterium
Lineage: Bacteria
Description: partial 16S ribosomal RNA
Rfam family: Bacterial small subunit ribosomal RNA
Source: RNAcentral